CAUCGUAGCUUCUUUGUUUUUGUUUUGUUUUUACCUCUGCUGGUAGUUUCCUUUGUUCUGUUGUUUUAUUUUAGUAUCUUAGCUUUGGACUUCAUUAUGGACAAAUCCUGAAGGGGGAAAGCACUUGUAGACCCUGGACACCUCUCUGAUGGCUGCUAAGAGGAACUAUGAAUCGAGGACCCUUGGAGGGUAAAGCUAUCCGUACACUCUUCAAGGCCUCUCACCACUGGAACUAAAUCCUAUGGAUUCAGUUCUUCAGCUGCUAGGAAACUGGAAGAAGUGCCCAACACUGCUCUUCAAUUUGGAUCUUGUACCUUGGUGACAGCUGGAGGCAGCUGCUCCUGCAUCACUAUGACUCGCAGCCGGGAGCCUUCACCUCUACAGGAACUUCAUGGCCCAGGCGCCUUGGGGACGAUGCGGACGACCCAGCACCAGCACCCAGUCUUGAUGUUUCAAGGGCGGGCGUCGCUGGGAACCGAGAAGACGACGCGCACUGGGGCUUCCGUGUAACGUGCCCAGAUCACUGUGGGGGUCAAGAGAGGCGAAGACCGGCCCCAGCUCCGACAAGGAAUCCAGCCCACCGCGGCUGCUGACCGGCCCACGCCCGCCUCUUCCCCUCCGGUCACACUCAUUUCUGUUCUGUUUGUGCCUGUUCAUUUGAUUUAGACGGCAGUGACCUUUGGUGAGAUCAACAUUUUUCACAGAAAUAAAGAACUUCUACAAAGCUAUAGGGAAAAAGAAGCUUCUGAGAAGUCAAAUAUGAGAAAAGCAAAUAAUGAUUUUUGUCCCCCAAAAGACAGCAUUCAAUAUGCUGGUUAUUUAAAAUUAAAGGUCUUCAAAGGCCAUGCAUGGUGGGAGAAAGUUUACCCUUAUUUACCUAAAGAUCGAAUCUACUUCCAGAGAGAACUCAGUUACCUUCCAUCCCCACCCUAAAAUCUCUUUUAUCUGUGGCAGAGAUUCAGGAAUAUAACCAUACCUGAAUGGACUUUGUCACAGACAUUGUGUGUGGCAGAGUCACUCAAUUAUAAAGGGAAUGCAUUACGAGCUAAUUUCUGUCUUGUGGAUGUAUUCAUAUUCCCUAACACCAUUUACUGCCCAUCAAAAUUUCCUCCGUGAAGAAGGGGACACAAGCACCUGAACUUCACUGGGGCUGGGUGCUCACUUCAUGCGUUUCUUCAUGUAUGCUAAACUUGCACACCUUUUUCUCCUGUCAAUCUAUCAUUAAUUCAUUCAGCAAAACUUCAAAAAGAGAAGGGGAAGGUUUCUUUCAUUCUAUGAUUGUAUCUUGAAUUCUCACAACAAUUUAGGCAGAGUAGAUAUUAUGCCCAUUUGAGAAAAUGAAAUCUUGAGGUCCAGGGAACUUUACUGAACCACCUACAUUUCCCUGCCAAGUCUCUCUCUCUCUCUCUCUCUCUCUCUCUCUCUUUCUCUUUCUUCUCUCUCUCUCUUUCUGUUGUUUUUGAGUCAGAUUCUUGCUACAUAGCCCAUGCUCGAUUUGUAUAUAUGCUGGCCUCCAUACUCCUGCUUCAACUUCUCAAGAUAUAGGAUUGUAGGUGUGAAAUACCAUACACACCCCCAAGUCAUGUUCUUUGUUUUAUUUUAUUGAGACUUAAUUUUCAAAGCUUUUAUGUUUUUAAAAUCUUUAGUAGCAC
Long non-coding RNA from Dipodomys spectabilis (banner-tailed kangaroo rat), 1652 nucleotides. RefSeq lists it as uncharacterized. The record is from RefSeq and is a predicted model, not a curated record. Lineage: Eukaryota; Metazoa; Chordata; Mammalia; Rodentia; Heteromyidae. The transcript has 3 exons.